Molecule: transfer RNA, 71 nt
Filed under: Bos taurus (domestic cattle)
Lineage: Eukaryota; Metazoa; Chordata; Mammalia; Artiodactyla; Bovidae
Rfam family: tRNA
About the family: Transfer RNA (tRNA) molecules are approximately 80 nucleotides in length. Their secondary structure includes four short double-helical elements and three loops (D, anti-codon, and T loops). Further hydrogen bonds mediate the characteristic L-shaped molecular structure. tRNAs have two regions of fundamental functional importance: the anti-codon, which is responsible for specific mRNA codon recognition, and the 3' end, to which the tRNAs corresponding amino acid is attached (by aminoacyl-tRNA synthetases). tRNAs cope with the degeneracy of the genetic code in two manners: having more than one tRNA (with a specific anti-codon) for a particular amino acid; and 'wobble' base-pairing, i.e. permitting non-standard base-pairing at the 3rd anti-codon position.
Source: Rfam by way of RNAcentral
UCCCUAUAGCUCAAACAGUAAAGAAUCUGCCUGCAAUGCAGAAGGACUGGGUUCGAUUCCUAGGUUGGGAA